Molecule: ribosomal RNA, 484 nt
Filed under: uncultured bacterium
Lineage: Bacteria
Description: partial 16S ribosomal RNA
Rfam family: Bacterial small subunit ribosomal RNA
Source: RNAcentral
GAUGAACGCUGGCGGCGUGCUUAACACAUGCAAGUCGAACGGCGGAGCAGGAGCUUGCUCUUGUGGAUCAGUGGCGAACGGGUGAGUAACACGUGAGCAACCUGCCCCUGACUCUGGGAUAAGCGCUGGAAACGGCGUCUAAUACUGGAUAUGUGAUGUGACCGCAUGGUCUGCAUCUGGAAAGAAUUUCGGUUGGGGAUGGGCUCGCGGCCUAUCAGCUUGUUGGUGAGGUAAUGGCUCACCAAGGCGUCGACGGGUAGCCGGCCUGAGAGGGUGACCGGCCACACUGGGACUGAGACACGGCCCAGACUCCUACGGGAGGCAGCAGUGGGGAAUAUUGCACAAUGGGCGGAAGCCUGAUGCAGCAACGCCGCGUGAGGGAUGACGGCCUUCGGGUUGUAAACCUCUUUUAGCAGGGAAGAAGCGAAAGUGACGGUACCUGCAGAAAAAGCACCGGCUAACUACGUGCCAGCCGCCGCAGUAA